This 882-nucleotide long non-coding RNA is filed under the name Mytilus galloprovincialis (Mediterranean mussel). The record is from RNAcentral. Lineage: Eukaryota; Metazoa; Mollusca; Bivalvia; Mytilida; Mytilidae.
CUCGGACUAGUUUAUAUUCGUAGCAAAUUGUCACGUGAUUUGACUGAUUGCAGUAUUUUCUGUGAUGUGUUUAGUAGACUCUUUUUUCUUAUGUGUGUUUUUGUUUUUUUGCUUUUUUUUAAAUGAAGUGUUUGCUUUUCAAAUACAAAAGCUAAUUUUUAGUGGGCUUUUUUUAUAAAGAUUUUUAAGGGGUGCAGAAGGAUGGUGUUAACAGUUCAAAAUUAAUUACUGCUAUUUUUUUUUAUUAUUUCUUUUUUUUUAACAUUUUAUCUUUAAAAAAAAAAUGAGUGUAACCGGUCAUAUGCCUGAUUCAUGACAUCAAUGAAUAAAUUAUGUGAGAGUUAAAGGUUAAUAAAACGAGGGUAUAUGUUACUAUAUAUGCAACUCGUCUUAACAUCUAUCCAACAAUGUUAGAUCUGUAAAUUUGCUUUAGCAUUUUUUUUUUGUUCUUCCCUCACCGGGAUUCGAACCCAUACUACUGAGAUAUCGUGACACCAAAUCGCCUGCACUAUCGCCUGCACUACAGCCGUCCCGCUAGACCACACGACCACCUGGGUUUCAUAAAAAUUAAGCUUUCGGUGGCCGGGUGCUAACUUUCCACGACAGUUUUACUGAUCUAGUGUCGUACUACAGUACAUGAUAUAUAAGGCAUGGAGAUGUUAUUUUUACAGAUCAGCUAAAUAUAUAUAUAUAUAUAUAUAUAUAUAUAUAUAUAUAUAUAUAACUCGUCUAAACAUCAACCCAACAAUGUUAGAUCUGAAAAUUUGCUUUCGCAAAUUUUUUGUUCUUCCCUCGCCGGGAUUCGAACCCAUGCUACUGUGAUAUCGUGACACCAAAUCGCCUGAACUGCAGCCGUCCCGCUAGACCAUACGACCACCUGGG